UACGGAGGGGGCUAGCGUUAUUCGGAAUUACUGGGCGUAAAGCGCACGUAGGCGGCGAUUUAAGUCAGAGGUGAAAGCCCGGGGCUCAACCCCGGAAUAGCCUUUGAAACUAGAUUGCUAGAAUCUUGGAGAGGCGAGUGGAAUUCCGAGUGUAGAGGUGAAAUUCGUAGAUAUUCGGAAGAACACCAGUGGCGAAGGCGGCUCGCUGGACAAGUAUUGACGCUGAGGUGCGAAAGCGUGGGGAGCAAACAGG
This 253-nucleotide ribosomal RNA is filed under the name uncultured bacterium. RNAcentral describes it as "partial 16S ribosomal RNA". It matches the Rfam family "Bacterial small subunit ribosomal RNA", at positions 524 to 776 of the family's 1533-position model. The record is from RNAcentral.